AGAGACAUAGCCUUAUGGGGACAUGGCCGUAUGGGGACAUGGUGCUUAUAGAGAGACAUGGCCUUAUGGGGACAUGCCCUUAUGGGGACAUGGUGCUUAUAGAGAGACAUAGCCUUAUGGGGACAUGGUGCUUAUAGAGAGAUAUAGCCUUAUGGGGACAUGGCCUUAUGGGGACAUGGUGCUUAUAGAGAGACAUAGCCUUAUGGGGACAUGGCCUUUUGGGGACAUGGUGCUUAUAGAGACAUAGCCUUAUGGGGACAUGGCCUUAUGGGGACAUGGUGCUUAUAGAGAAACAUAGCCUUAUGGGGACAUGGCCUUUUGGGGACAUGGUGCUUAUAGAGACAUAGCCUUAUGGGGACAUGGCCUUAUGGGGACAUGGUGCUUAUAGAGAGACAUAGCCUUAUGGGGACAUGGCCUUAUGGGGACAUGGUGCUUAUAGAGAAACAUAGCCUUAUGGGGACAUGGUGCUUAGCACUCCCUCUUAAGGCCUAAUAACACAGUGCAGAAAUACAAUAUGGUGCUUUACAGUAGAUUGAGGUUGGAAAAGGGAUAAGACUGCAGACAAUCAUCUUUGAAGAGGACCGACAGUCAUCAGACCACAUUAUGGGAAUUACGCCACAUUAUGGUCUUCAUCAGAAUUUGACCAUGUGUGUCUUUUAUAGAGGAGAGAUUUGAUUCUAAGGACAUUGUGCAAGUUUUUUUCAACAAAAAAAAACCCAAUGUUGUGCCAAGAUUGACAAUUCAUGUUGGCGUUCUUUCUUUGGGUUUUGUAGUCAGAGUCAUGAUUGGAUGUUAUUGAUACAUGCUGACUGAUAACUUUUGAAGUGAAAGCCAUAUAACACUCAAUCCACAAAAACUGCAGGGGCCAUACUUAUGAUUUAGCAUGUUAGCAGCUAACAAGGAUGGAUUUUAACCUGAAGGGACCCAUACUUAUGAUUUAGCAUGUUAGCGGCUAACUAGCACAGGUUUAAACCUGAAAGACCCAUACUUCUGAUUUAGCAUGUUAGCGGCUAACUAGCACAGGUUUAAACCUGAAAGACCCAUACUUCUGAUUUAGCAUGUUAGCGGCUAACUAGCACAGGUUUAAACCCGAAAGACCCAUACUUCUGAUUUAGCAUGUUAGCAGCUAACUAGCACAGGUUUAAACCUGCAGGUAACAUCUUUAGCAGCUUUUCGCAUUUCCAAUUAGAAAACAUGUCUUACUUGGGAACUCUAACUGGCUCUUAAUCAAAACAAAGGAACAGUUCACUCUUUAUUUAUGUCAAAUGAACACAUGGUCAAAUUAAAGAAACGCUUCAAGAGGAAGUUGUAGUUUUCUACCAGCUCUGAUACUGUACCUAUAAAUAGAUCAAACUAAUACUUUUAACCUUAACAGUGUUCCUCACAAACUAAACCAGGGUCGUAUUCAUUAGUGCACAUCGUAGGAAAAACAUUUAACAAGGGAAAAAUGAAAAUGAGUUUCUUAUUGGACAGAUUCAAGUAGUCCCUCCCUGUUUCAGUCCAUUUUCAUCCAUUGGGUGACUAACACAACCCAGUUCCCUCUCCUCCCUCUAUUCUUCCAAUAUAAUGUGCUUCCUUCUUGUUCACAUGGCUGAUAUUGGUUUGUUCUGAGUAUUUAUAUAAUCUCCCUGUUUUUAUUUUUUAUCCUGUUUGUACAUAUGAAUAUUAAACAGCCUUGUCAUUUUCCAAUACAUAUUUGAUCAAUAAUUUUAAAUGCAAUUUUUAAUAAAAUUAUAAUAAAAUAAAAAUCUUGUUGUGAUAUUAUUCAGUGACAGAACAGAAGAGAGGUACUUGUUACCAGAGUAAUCAUAGGCAAAAACUUCAAAUUUGUAUAUAUUUGUGUGCAGCUAUAUUAGAUUCUAGUAACGUAUCAGUUUUGUCAUGGACUGGACAGCUGUCUCUAUACCAUCGUUCCUGUUCUAUACCAAACAUUACAUACAACACACACAACUAAGAGAAAAAAAUGCAAAAUUCCCAAGUUAACACAGUUGGAAGAUUCUGGGAAUAUUUUUUAUUUAAUUUUUUUUAACUAGGCAAGUCAGUUAAGAACAAAUUCUUAUUUACAGUGACGGCCUAAACCGGGCCAAACCCGGACGACGCCGGGCCAAUUGUGCUUCGCCCUAUGGGACUCCCACUCACGGCCGGGUUAUGAUACAGCCUGGAUUCUGACUCCUCAAGCACCGAGAUGCUGCGCCACUCAGGUGCCCCAAUCAUGAGGGAACAAGAACAUCCUCCAAACAGGAUCUCCAAAACAACUGGGACAGGAAGAAAAAUCAUUACAUUUCUCUACAACGAAAAUGUUGUAAAAAUCAGAGAGAAUCAAAACGUCCUCUCCCCUCCUCCGGGUCUCUCAAUUCACAGGUUGUAAAAUCUCUCAAAAUCAUGGACAGAAACAAAAUAUUUUACAGCAGUUUUAAUGAGAACAGACUUUCAUAUGCAAACCAGUGACCGUUACGGUCUGAGAAAAUAGCUCAUUUGAACUUGUAAUUUACAUGGAUAUUUUGAUGGAUUUGUGGAACAAAAAAAAAUGGGUUGCUUUUUGUAUGAACAUAACAUAUUGUACUGUACUACAGCUCUCGGGGAUAGCAUCCCAAAUGGCACCCUAUUCCCUAUAUAGUGCACUACUUUAGACCAGGAACCUAUGGACCCUAAAAGUAGUGCACUAUAUAGGGAAUAGGGCGCCAUUUGGGAUGCUCCCCUACUCUGAGACGUUUCACACCCAGUGUCCACUGAGCACACUGCAGGCCAAACGCAGUGUCCACUGAGCACACUGCAGGCCAAACGCAGUGUCCACUGAGCACACUGCAGGCCAAAC
Molecule: long non-coding RNA, 2815 nt
Organism: Oncorhynchus tshawytscha (Chinook salmon)
Lineage: Eukaryota; Metazoa; Chordata; Actinopteri; Salmoniformes; Salmonidae
Source: Ensembl